AGCGCAUGCCUACGGGAGCAGCAGUGGGGAAUAUUGCACAAUGGGCGAAAGCCUGAUGCAGCAACGCCGCGUGAAGGAAGAAGGGUUUCGGCUCGUAAACUUCUAUCAACAGGGACGAAAGAAAUGACGGUACCUGAAUAAGAAGCCCCGGCUAACUACGUGCC
This 164-nucleotide ribosomal RNA is filed under the name uncultured bacterium. RNAcentral describes it as "partial 16S ribosomal RNA". It matches the Rfam family "Bacterial small subunit ribosomal RNA", at positions 330 to 509 of the family's 1533-position model. The record is from RNAcentral.